AAAACAGAGCACAAAUACACCUAGUUGUUUAUAUUACAAAGAAGAUCAAAAGCUUGUUAGACAUAGGUUAUAAUGGAAGCAUAAAAGGGAUGAGAGGAACUUUACAUAACAUAGAAAUCCUGCAACAAUUCGUAAAUUGCCCAAACACAGUGUUCAGACCGGAUAUGCGCUACCCGUUAAAGGGGGCGAAGAAAUCAGGCCUAAGUUUGAAAAAUGAAAUGGGUUAACUCGAUAGAGGAUGUUUCCAAAGGUCGAGAAAAUAAUGUAGGCCCUUUUACCAGGAGAAAGCUAAUUGUAUCUUUUACACUUUAUAGUGUGCACUGAGGGAAGUCAGGAAUAGUUUAAAUUAGGAUUGAAAAAAUUAAACUAGGUGAAAGGGGGUGUAGCAAGUAGAUUUAGGGCAGCUCACAGCCUGGCGUAAACGCAAGGUGCUGUCACACAGCUUAAGUUAUUUGUUAGAUUUAUUUUUAUGACAAAAUAAUAAGGAAACAUUGAAAACAUACAACCCGUUGAGGAGACAGAUAGGGUUGGGGAAUUGAAGGGUUUUGUUUGUUUAGCAUAAUCACUUUUGUUAUAUUUUAGCUUUAACAGGGAACAUGCCUCUCUGGAGCUUCUCUCCUGAUGCUACCCUGCCAAAGACCCUUAUCCCUAGAGACUAUGUCAGCUCCCAAACAGACAACAACAAACCAAAUCUAGCAAUAAACAACUUAAACAUCAAUAGUAACAAAGCAAGAACAAUACAGAAUCCACAUCUGAACCGAAGAAUAAAACAGUGAAAUGUGGAUUAUUAAAUAUUAGGUCUCUCACCCCCGGAAGAUGAUUGAAUAAAGAAAGACAGGUACUUAUGUAUGUCAGCAUAAGGUGGAGUCCAACAGAAGCAAGGCACCCUACAUGCGCACAGCAUGCAGCAGGGGUUGCCAAAAUAAUGUAGAAAACAGCACAUGUAGUGAGAGAACACCCACUAAAAGUUCUGAUUACACAUAAGACUGAGUAAAGUUUUAGAUGCUCCAAAUCUGACAUUUACACAUGAAGGAAUCAAUAUGGC
This is a long non-coding RNA of Oreochromis aureus, 1045 nucleotides long. NCBI's taxonomy places the organism in Eukaryota, Metazoa, Chordata, Actinopteri, Cichliformes, Cichlidae. The record is from Ensembl.